This 5522-nucleotide long non-coding RNA is filed under the name Brassica napus (rape). RNAcentral describes it as "long non-coding RNA (BNAP_LNC019665)". The record is from RNAcentral. Lineage: Eukaryota; Viridiplantae; Streptophyta; Magnoliopsida; Brassicales; Brassicaceae.
CUGGAGUCACAUCAAAAGCUGGGUUCCAAACCGAGAUCCCUGGUGCUGCAAUGCGCUCACCAAGCCCUCCAUGGGUGUUCAGCAACUCCUUUGCUGUUCUUUCUUCUAUCACUAUUUCUUUCCCGGACGAAAGAGAAAGAUCAACUGAGGUGAGAGGUGCAGCAACAUAAAACGGUAUCCCGUGAUGUUUUGCGCAUAGGGCGAGACUGUAAGUCCCAAUCUUGUUAGCAGUAUCACCUGGAAAUAUAGUUAUAUUAGUAGGUUUUCAGAUUUAUGAAGAGAAAAUCAGAUUAUCUUAAGUGCACCAUUUGAAGCCACACGGUCUGCUCCCACAACGACACCAUCUACACGACCAUCUUUCAUGAGUGCAGCUGCAGCUGAGUCUGCAAUGAGCGUUGCAGGGAUCUUUUCAUGCACCAACUCAAACGCUGUAAGCCUCGAUCCCUGUCAAUUGUCAUUCAACAACAUUUCAAGCAAUGGAGGCAAGCUAAUAUUCAUGAAUAAUCGAUCCUACUUUACUUUACUUUACUUUACAAUCUUAUUGCAGAUGUCAAACUAUGGUCCGGAACAACUUACGAAUUCUCACAAGUAUUUAAAUAGAAAGAACUUUAACUUAGGAGUUUUACUUGAUUAAAUGGACGAGUUUCUGUGCAGUAUGCUCUUUCUAAGACUCCUUGAGUGUGGAGUGCACGGAUAACACCCAGGGCAGUCCCAUAUCCGGCAGUAGCAAGGCUACAAACAAAAGGGAACUGUCAGUUAGGUGAUGAACAUCCACAAACUCUAUUUGGUUGGAUCAACAGAACCAUACCUGCCGGUGUUGCAAUGGGUCAGAACAGAAAGCUUGUCAGGAUUUUUGGCUUGCUGCCUCAGUAAGCUUGAACCAAAGGUCCCUAUUGCUUUGUUUGACGCGACAUCAUCUUCGAGCAUAUUCUCAGCAGCUUCAAUAUAUGCCUGAGGAGAACAAGGCAUAGGUAGUGAAGUGAACUUACAAAAGCAAAAAAGGCUCAGCUCUGUGCAGAUAAAUGAUACAGAAAAAAGCCAAAAAUGUAUAUGCAAAGAUGAAGCUAUCAUUCCUCAGUCCAAAUCAAGUUCUCUAAGCUAUUAAAACAGGAAGCUAUCAUCCAAGAGAGAGCAACCAUUCCCAAGUCCAAAUUGAGUUCUCUAAGCUAACAUUUCUCAGCCAACAACCGAAUAAGAAGAAAAACAAAACCUUUGGCUCUUAGGAAAUUACCUUGAAAAUGGAGUUCGGUUCAGCGGCAGAAGAAGCCAAGGCAUUAGCUAUAACUUGUUUAAGUUUCAAGGAAGCAUCUGCAAGAUUAACAGCUGUUGGCCGGCUGAAGAAGAAACAUAAGACAAAGCAAAGGACUUAAGAAUCAUCACAAAGAACCGAAGAUGCAAACUUUAAUCUAAAUUCAGUACCUUGACACCAAAUAAUCCAACUUCUUCUCAAGGAAAGCAACCGCUUCUGCCGAUGAUCCAUCGAAGCCACUAAAGUUGGAAACUUCAACAGCCAAAGAGAGAGCUGCAGCAAUGGCUAUCGCAGGAGCACCACGUACCACCAUCUCCUGUAUCGCACUCCUAAUGAACCAUUGAAACUAUUAACACGUUUGCGAAUCUAAUCAAUCAAAAGCUGUUUUCUUUUACCAUCCAUCUGCAGUGUCACGGAUCUCUAAGUAAGUAGUCUCCAAAGGAAGCUUCCUCUGCUCCGAGUUCAGAUGAUAGUUGAGAUUAGAAGAAACGUUCGUUUGUGAAAUUUGUGUAGAAGUGUGAAGGAAGGGGUUAUAAGAGGAACCUGAUCGAGUAACUGGAGAGAGCCAGGCUUGUAGCAGAUAGACUUGAGGGUGGUGUCUCCUUCGCCGGACAUGAUUUACUGCUUGCAGAUGAGGCCGUUUCGAUCUUUGAAUUGAAUGACAAGUGAAGUGAUUGGCCUCGGAAUAAAGACUCUGUGUGGGGUGUGAGAAAUGAGAAUCAGAUUCCUAUUGCAACAAGGCGGCGUGAAACGUGCCGGCUUCUUUUAUACCUACCAUUUACCAAAACUAAUCCAUUUUUGAAUUUAAGGAAAAAACAUUUGCCAAAAUUCAGUUUUUUUUUUACCAACAUAAUUUGUAUACACAAUUCUCAUAUAUUUUAAAAUGUUUGUUACAAAAUAGUUUAAAUUGACAAAUAUAUAAAUUUUAAUUUUCUUCUUAAUAUUCAUCAUAUAUAUGAAAAUUUUAAAGUUAUUCAAAAAUUGGUGAGUUUUAUAAAACUUUUGAAGUUUCAAAAAUAUUAAAUCAUAAAUUAACCCUUAACAUAAAUUCCUAAACAGUAGGCUUAAACCUAAAUUAUAAAUUUUAAACCUUAAGCCAUUGAUGUCUAAUACACAAUUUUUUAUACUAUAAAACAGAAAUCAACACAACUAUAUGAACUGCAUGUGUUAUUAAUUUUUUUUCUAAAUUUUUUUUUAGAAGACGAAUAUUUAAGAUCAAAAGUGAAUUAUCUUUAUGUAUUUCAUUAUGAAAAAUUUCGUGCUUUAGGCAUGUGUCCUUUUGUUUUGUGGUGACUUUGUUCUUCCGAUGAUUAUUCAUUCUCUGGCCCGCUUUUUUGGUUUUUGUCUCAUAUUUUAUCUUUUACCUUUUUCUGACAUCUACUAGUUCUAACCAAAACAUUCUAUGGUAAGAUGAGAUAGGUUAGUCUUCUUUGUUAAUCUUUUUUUAGCUCCAAACCUUUAUUGAGUUAGUGUUACUAUGCUAAGAUAGAUAGGUUAUGUUAUUAAAUAUGUAAAAUAUAUUUUUAUUUUUUCAUUUUUUUUAUUUAUUCAUCUUGAAUUUUAGUAAACAAUAAAAUAGAUUAUCAAACUUCAUACGAUAAUAGUUAGUGCGAAAAUGAUUAGACAGUUCACGAUUAGAAAGUACUUGACCAAAUUGUAAUAAUCUAAAAGAAAAAAGACCUAGAAUGUAAAAAAAACAUGGAUGACACGUGUCGCAAAAACUCCCUGCCACUUAUCAGAAGAAGGAAAAAAAAACCAACUUUAUAUAUACAGAUUGCCAAAACAAAACAAAGAAUAAAGUAAAAAAAGAAUAAGCUUUUGUCGUUCAGUUAGAAGAAUAGACAUUUUCAACUAUCUCUUUCUUCAAUUUUCUUUUCAAGGAAAAUAAGAUCCGACUAUCAAUAUGGAGAAAUAUGCAGAGGAUCUAAUCAAAUGGUGUCUCACCGGAGUUAUCAGCUCGUAAAGGAGAAGCAUGUCGACACCCAUGAGUUGGCCGCCUUUCUUAACAGUUCUUGCUUCCCAGAAUCCGAGGAGACAGACCUCGGCGAUGUUUGAACAUCAUUCAGCUUUCAAAUCGGUGAGUAGAGUAAACGAAUUAGCCAUUGCUUGAUUUGAUUCUUCACAGAGAAAAACUCUUGGAAUUUCGUUUUGACAAUGAUAACAAUGUUUUUGGAUUCAGGAUUUUAAUUGGAUUCGGGAUUAGGGUUUCUAUGUGAUGAUAAAAGUCUUGGCUUUUCAGUGAUCCUAUGCGGCUGCGGCUUGAUCCCCAAUAAGGAAACGUCUAGUGGAAAAAUAUGCAGCAAUCAUUGAAGGAUGGAGCAAAACGAUUCAGUAGCUGAUGAAAAGGUUUCUAUUCUGGUUUUCAGUGAUCCUCUUAGUUUCUCCGCUUGCUUUAGUUAUAGGUGGAAAUAGUUCUGAUUGUGUAUCAUGAUGGCUUAUACUUGCAGUUGGGAAAUUGAGCGUUGAGACCCAGUAGUGUUCUCAGUUUUGACAGUCCUGUUCUUGCCCAUGAUUUGCUUCUUCUUUAUAGGGAGACCCAAUGGCGUUCUCAGUUUUGACAGUCCUGGUCCAUUGCAUUGUACCCAGUCUGUGUUGUACCGAGUAUUGGUCUUCAUCUAAAUUCCAUUUUAAUCUCCACAAAGGACUGUGAAAGUUGCUGUCCAAGAGGUUUGCUUAUUCUUUACUCUAACUUUUCUACACAAUGAAUACUGUUUUUUCUGUUUAUUUCUUUGAUUUUAGCUUCAAGUAUCGAACAUAAAAUUAUGAAGAUUGAUCGACGUUGAAGCCUCUUUAGACUUUUUUUAAUGAUUGCAUUUUUUUCUCACAUAACACAAUUAUGGCAAAAAUAAACAGAUGAGGUGACUUCAAGCUCUUGGGAUUCAAGUUGCUCACUAUCCUGGAAAUCAAGUGCUGAUCGCUUAUCCUGAACUCAUUGAUGCUGCAGUGAUCUCGUAAGUCUUUUGUACCUGAAACAAUUUUAAGUUAACAUUUUGGUUUAGCUUGGUUGUGAUUUACGUCAUAAAGCCCAAAACGGUUUUGAUGAGCAAACAUUGUUUUUUAGUACUUGCAAGAAAAUGAAGCCAGGAUCAUAUCGUGCAGAAUUGGUUAAAACAGCAAAGUUAAUCGUAUGGAAUGAUAUUAUUAGAUCUUCUUAAGAAAAAUCUUUUGGGGGUAAAGUUUUUGUUUUCGGUGGCGAUUUCAGACAGAUAUUAUCGGUUAUACCUGGAGGAGGUAGAGCAGAGACUGUUUUGGCCACUGAAUUGGUCAUAUCUUUGGGAGCACUGCAAAGUUUUAAAGCUAGCAAAAAACAUGAGAUUGCUUGCUGGUCUUGCUGAUGAUGCAGCAAAAGACCUCGAGUCUUUCUCAGAAUGGAUUUUGGAUAUUGGAGAUGGAAAAAUAAAUUUGCCUAAUGAUGGUCAAGACAUUUUCAUCAAUGCUCUUAUUCUUUAACAUACACCAAUUUGCCCCACCAUCUAUAAAAUGUACUCUUUUUGCUUGUCGACUCUUUUUGCUUGUCGACUCUUUCUUAUCCCAAGACAAAUCUUUACAACAUUUUUUCUUUUGGUGUAACAAAUCUUUACAACAUAUGUAUUCAUUAUGGUGCUGUGUUGCAACUAUAUAGAGAGCGGAAACAUCACUUUCCUUUCAGUAGUUUAAAAAACAUAAAGGACUCAAGUUGAUUAUUUAUCCCCGGACAGAAGCGUAUUCAGUAGUUUAAAACAUUACAAAAGCUUUUAUUGUUUUGUUACAAAGUAUUGUGCUUAUGUUGAAAUAACAUAGAGAUGGACACAUCUGCGAAUCGAAAAGCUGACUACACAACUUCAAUUUCCUGUCACCUUCUUGGCAAAGCUGCUUAUGUCAAAUGCAUCAUUGGCAUUCUUUGUUAUGACCCCCUGCACAUACAUUCUUUAUUAGUUAUGACCGACCUCCGCAUACAAACCUUAAAAAGUAUAAUCUUUGGAGACACAAACCUUCUCGGUUAUGAUUCCUGCAAUCAGCUCAGCUGGAGUCACAUCAAAAGCUGGGUUCCAAACCGAGAUCCCUGGUGCAGCAAUGCGCUCACCAAGCCCUCCAUGGGUGUUCAGCAACUCCUUUGCUGUUCUUUCUUCUAUCACUAUUUCUUUCCCGGACGAAAGAGAAAGAUCAACUGAGGUGAGAGGUGCAGCAACAUAAAACGGUAUCCCGUGAUGUUUUGCGCAUAGGGCGAGACUGUAAGUCCCAAUCUUGUUAGCAGUAUCACCUGGAAAUAUAGUUAUAUUAGUAGGUUUUCAGA